Molecule: small nucleolar RNA, 135 nt
Organism: Arabidopsis lyrata subsp. lyrata
Lineage: Eukaryota; Viridiplantae; Streptophyta; Magnoliopsida; Brassicales; Brassicaceae
Rfam family: Small nucleolar RNA snoR9
About the family: snoR9 is a member of the C/D class of snoRNA which contain the C (UGAUGA) and D (CUGA) box motifs. Most of the members of the box C/D family function in directing site-specific 2'-O-methylation of substrate RNAs.
Source: Rfam
ACGAUGACGAAUUGGAUGUUCAAAAUUUAAGUUCUGGUGAUGUGAAAAAGGGAAAACACAGGUGAAGAUCAACACAAUGAAGAAGAAGACGAGUAGAAAAAAGACGUUUCGUAUUUUCUUUGAUGAUGAUGACAU